This 1054-nucleotide long non-coding RNA is filed under the name Phoenix dactylifera (date palm). RNAcentral describes it as "long non-coding RNA (PDAC_LNC016184)". Lineage: Eukaryota; Viridiplantae; Streptophyta; Magnoliopsida; Arecales; Arecaceae. The record is from RNAcentral.
AAUAAGAGCAUAAGGGGCUGGAUCUUCAGUCUUGGGACUGGUGAGACAUGAUGAACAUGGGAAUAUUAAAAGGAUUAAAGGAUCUUCAGGCCCCAUGCUCUAAUCUUCUAAAACAAUUAAUUAGGGGAACUUAAUGCUCAUUACUCUCGUUUCCUAAAUGAACUUUCUGGCUUCCUCCUUUUUUCUGCCUCAAUAUAUUCGAUAUAUCUCUUGGGAUGCAUUUGAUGAAAAAUGAUUAUGAAAUACUUGAAAGUUGUAAUUUUUAAUUUUUAUUGAUUUUCUUUAUCUAAGUUUAUAUAUCUAAAAUAAUUAUAUUUUUACUUAUUAAUUUGAUUUCACAAAUUUGUACCCGAUCUUUUCAGUUUUUACCCAAUUUUUUCUGAAUUCCGAAAUUUUCAACCUUGCCGAAUUAUUCCCCACUGCUGAACUUGUGACUGCGUUAAGGAGAUGGUCUCAGAUAUCUUCAUCGAACUGUCUAAGUAGAAGAUGAAAGCCUUGAUGUGAGAAUUUAAGUUGUAAAAAAGGAUUUGAAGAACCUGAAUUCAGAAAGCCAGUCUCAAAUACUCUUAGGUGGUUAUGGUUAUGAGGUUAAAAAAGAAAUGAUGAUUUUAUUGCUUUUGAAAUAAAGGCCCCUGUACAAAAAAUUAUGUUUGAUUGUAAUUGACUAAUCACUGUAGCAUUUUGAACUCUCGCUUUGGAAGUUUGUUGGUGUUAGUAUUGGUGCUGUUGUUGGCAUCUUCUCUCCCAGGAGUAAGUAUUUCUUUACCACUCCAUUUAUAAAGAGAAAUGCAUUUCAUUUUGGACAUUAAUAUUUUUUAAAGUUUAUCUGUCUUGUUUAUUAACCAUAUCUUGUUGCUGCCAUCACUGCUGUAGUUUGGUUAUAUUUCUUUUCUUUUUCCCCCUCUUUUUUAGUAGUGGUCCUUAGCUUGUAUUUGGGUCCUUAUUCUGUCUUAAGCAGAUGAUCAACCUAUUUAUUUCAUCCAAUCAUUGCUUCUUGAUAGUUAUUUACAUAUUUUCAUCUGUAACUCUAUGAUUUUUUUAAAAAACUUGCUUC